UCAAGAAAGAAAGGGCGCAAGGUGGAUGCCUUGGCACAUGAAGGCGAUGAAGGACGUAAGUGAACGAAAACUAGGGAGAGCUCACAAAAAGCACUGACCCCUAGGUCUCCGAAUGGGGAAACCCGGCUGUGGAAGACACAGUCAUUACUAAGUGAAUACAUAGCUUAGUAAAGCAAGACCCUGUGAACUGAAACAUCUAAGUAACAGGAGGAAAAGAAAGAAAACUCGAUUUUCCAAGUAGCGGCGAGCGAAAAGAAAAGAGCCUAAUCCAUUGAGGAAUAUCUAGUUAGUCGAAUCAUCUGGGAAGAUGAACCAAAGAAAGUGAAAGUCUUGUAGACGAAAACUAAAUAAACCAGGGAGGAAAGUAGCACCGGACACGAGGAAUCCGUUGUGAAGAUAGGGGGACCAUCCCCUAAGGCUAAAUACUAACAUGUGACCGAUAGCGAACAAGUACCGUGAGGGAAAGGUGAAAAGAACCCCCGAAAGGGGGAGUGAAACAGAACCUGAAACCUAGUGCCUACAAGCAGAGAGAGCUCUAAAGAGUGAUCUCGUACCUUUUGUAGAAUGGGCCAGCGAGUUAUCGUAUAUAGCAAGGUUAAAUCUUUUAAGAGAUGAAGCCAAAGCGAAAGCGAGUCUUAAUAGGGGCGAAUAGUUAGAUGCGAUAGACCCGAAACCGGGUGAUCUAUCCAUGGUCAGAGUGAAGGUGAAGUAAAAUUCACUGGAGGCUCGAACCGGGUCGGUUUAAAACGUAUCGGAUGAACUGUGGAUAGGGGCAAAAACCAAACGAACUCGGAUAUAGCUGGUUCUCCUCGAAAUAGCUUUAGGGCUAGCCUUUGAUUAAGAUUUAAGGAGGUAGAGCACUGAAUGGUCUAGGGCGGCUUACCGUACCAAAACCUAUCAAACUCCGAAUGCCAAAAAAUCAAUCAAGGAGUCAGACUUAGGGGGAUAAGCUUUAAGUCGAAAGGGAAACAGCCCAACCGACAGCUUAAGGUCCCAAAAUUGGAUUAAGUGGAAAACGAUGUGGGAAGGCAUAGACAGCUUAGGAGGUUGGCUUAGAAGCAGCCACCCUUUAAAGAAAGCGUAAUAGCUCACUAGUCGAGUCGGCCUGCGCGGAAGAUGUAACGGGGCUAAAACUAUGUGCCGAAGCUGCGGAUUUGACAUUAGUCAAGUGGUAGGGGAGCGUUCUGUAAGCCGAUGAAGGUGUAUUGAGAAGUAUGCUGGAGGUAUCAGAAGUGCGAAUGCUGACGUGUAAGUAACGAUAAAGGGGGUGAGAAACCCCCUCGCCGCAAGACUAAGGUUUCCUGAUCAACGCUAAUCGGAUCAGGGUUAGUCGGGUCCUAAGGCUCAGCCGAACGGUGAGGCCGAUGGCAGAACAGGUUAAUAUUCCUGUACUACCUAUAAGAGUGAUGUGGAGACGGAGGAGUGACAACGCCGCGGACUGACGGAAUAGUCCGUUAAAGGGUGUAGAUGUUGAUUAUCCCAGGCAAAUCCGGGAUAAGAGUCGAACCUGAAGUAUACCAAUUUCCUCGGAAAACGGUAAUAGUGCGUGUAAACAUACUCCCAAGAAAAUCCGCUAAACUUAAUCUUAUAGGUACCCGUACCGUAAACGGACACACGUAGUCGGGUUGAAUAUACUCAGGCGCUUGAGUGAAUCACUUUGUUAAGGAACUCGGCAAAAUGUCCCCGUAACUUCGGGAGAAGGGGAGCCAGAGCGAUCUGGCCACAGAAACCAGGCCCAAGCGACUGUUUACCAAAAACACAAGUUUCUGCAAAAUCGAAAGAUGAAGUAUAGGAGCUGACACCUGCCCGGUGCUGGAAGGUUAAGGGGAAGGCUUAGCAUAAGCGAAGGCUAGAACUUAAGCCCCAGUAAACGGCGGCCGUAACUAUAACGGUCCUAAGGUAGCGAAAUUCCUUGUCGGGUAAGUUCCGACCCGCACGAAAGGUGUAACGAUUUGGGCACUGUCUCAACAAAGGAUCCCGGUGAAAUUGUAGUAGUCGUAAAGAUGCGAACUUACCCCACGCUAGGACGGAAAGACCCCGUGGAGCUUUACUGUAGGCUGAUAUUGGACUUUGAGAUUAGACGUACAGGAUAGUUGGGAGACUUUGAAACACGCACGCCAGUGUAUGUGGAGUCACCCUUGGGAUACCAACCCUCUAAUAUUAAAGUUCUAACGAUGACCCUUGAAUCAGGGCAUCGGACAUUGUCAGUUGGGCAGUUUGACUGGGGCGGUCGCCUCCCAAAAAGUAACGGAGGCGUUCAAAGGUUCGCUCAGAAUGGACGGAAACCAUUCGUAGAGUACAAAGGCAGAAGCGAGCUUAACUGCAAAACCUACAAGUUGCGCAGAGUAGAAAUACGGACUUAGUGAUCCGGUGGCACCGCAUGGAAGGGCCAUCGCUCAACGGAUAAAAGCUACCCCGGGGAUAACAGGCUUAUCUCCCCCAAGAGUCCACAUCGACGGGGAGGUUUGGCACCUCGAUGUCGGCUCGUCUCAUCCUGGGGCUGAAGUAGGUCCCAAGGGUUGGGCUGUUCGCCCAUUAAAGAGGCACGCGAGCUGGGUUCAGAACGUCGUGAGACAGUUCGGUCCCUAUCCAGCGUGGGCGUAAGAAAUUUGAGAGGAUCUGUCCCUAGUACGAGAGGACCGGGAUGGACACACCUCUGGUGUACCAGUUGUUCCGCCAGGAGCAUAGCUGGGUAGCUACGUGUGGAAUUGAUAAGCGCUGAAC
RNAcentral lists this ribosomal RNA (2724 nucleotides) under unidentified. RNAcentral describes it as "bacterial LSU rRNA". It matches the Rfam family "Bacterial large subunit ribosomal RNA". The record is from RNAcentral.